GACGAACGCUGGCGGCGUGCCUAACACAUGCAAGUCGAACGGGACUCAGCCCUUCGGGACUGAGUUUAGUGGCGAACGGGUGAGUAACGCGUGAGGAACCUGCCUUUCAGUGGGGGACAACAGUUGGAAACGACUGCUAAUACCGCAUAAAACUUUCGAGCGGCAUCGUUUGAAAGUCAAAGAUUUAUUGCUGAAAGAUGGCCUCGCGUCUGAUUAGCUGGGUUGGUGAGGUAACGGCCCACCAAGGCGACGAUCAGUAGCCGGACUGAGAGGUUGAACGGCCACAUUGGGACUGAGAUACGGCCCAGACUCCUACGGGAGGCAGCAGUGGGGAAUAUUGGGCAAUGGGGGAAACCCUGACCCAGCAACGCCGCGUGAAGGAAGAAGGCUUUCGGGUUGUAAACUUCUUUUACCAGGGACGAAGGACGUGACGGUACCUGGAGAAAAAGCCACGGCUAACUACGUG
This 466-nucleotide ribosomal RNA is filed under the name uncultured bacterium. Its description in RNAcentral is "bacterial SSU rRNA". It matches the Rfam family "Bacterial small subunit ribosomal RNA", at positions 28 to 507 of the family's 1533-position model. The record is from RNAcentral.